UAGUGGAUCACUAGAACUUAGAGGAGACAA
RNAcentral lists this non-coding RNA (30 nucleotides) under Rattus norvegicus (Norway rat). The record is from RNAcentral. Lineage: Eukaryota; Metazoa; Chordata; Mammalia; Rodentia; Muridae.